UAAAGAAAACACUCAACGAACGGCUGGUCUGAUACAGUUUUUGUCUGUGGCGACUGGGUUCACGAUUAUGACUCUUUUAACAAAGUACUUAGAAAAUUAAUUUGUAUUUAAUAAGUUAAAUACUUUUUCUUGUCCUUUUUAAUGGAAAUAAGUAGGUGAUAACGAAAAACGUUUUUAUAACAACAUGACGUGAUGUGGACAAUAAGUUUUUGUUAUAAUGGAUUUUAUUACUAUUUAAUUAAGAGAUAAC
Molecule: long non-coding RNA, 250 nt
Organism: Agrilus planipennis (emerald ash borer)
Lineage: Eukaryota; Metazoa; Arthropoda; Insecta; Coleoptera; Buprestidae
Exons: 2
Source: RefSeq, a predicted model, not a curated record